This 595-nucleotide long non-coding RNA is filed under the name Mytilus galloprovincialis (Mediterranean mussel). The record is from RNAcentral. Lineage: Eukaryota; Metazoa; Mollusca; Bivalvia; Mytilida; Mytilidae.
UUUCAAUGCAAAAAAAUUUACACAAAAUGAAACCAGCAGCCAGAUAAACUGAUAUUUAUAAGUCAUCAUAAAUUGACCCAUGAGCAAGUAAGAUGCUAAAAAUACUUAGAACAUGUAGAACGAACAUAUUUAGAAAAUGCCACCUCUUCUUCGCUGCUUCUUCUUCAUUCAUAUAAGAGUAGUCAUGGGUUCCUGACAAAACAAAACUCGCCUACACAUAAAUAAGAAGAUGUGGUAUGAGUGUCAAUGAGACAAACCCUCCAUCCAAAUCACAAUGUAUAAAAAAGUACGGCCUUCAACACUGAGCAUUAGCUCACACCGAACAGUAAGCUAUAAAUGGCCCCAAAAUUACCAUUGUAAACAUACACAAUUUAAACAGGAAAACCAACGGUCUAAUCUAUUUGCUAAACAAGAAAAAUCUAUGCAAGAAACCAACAAAUGACAACCACUGAACAACAGGCUCAGGUGCAUGUAAUAAAUGCAGUUGGUUUGCUGCUUUAACUGGUGCCAACCUUCACCCAAGCCCGAGACAUUGGGGUAACAAUACAACAUUGUAGUAUGAUAAUAUAAAAACCGACCACUUUAUAUGGACCAC